RNAcentral lists this long non-coding RNA (3444 nucleotides) under Nicotiana tabacum (common tobacco). RNAcentral's name for it is "long non-coding RNA (NTAB_LNC013321)". Lineage: Eukaryota; Viridiplantae; Streptophyta; Magnoliopsida; Solanales; Solanaceae. The record is from RNAcentral.
GGAGUGGAUAUUUUGGGGAAAAAUAGUAAAAGCCAAAUAUCCUAGCUGUUCUUUUUCUUUCUUCUUGUUAUUUAGAAAAAAAUAAAAUUCUAAUUCCAUCAGCAAGAAAUCGAUUCAAUCAGAAUGUCAAUCUGGGUUGUUUUUUCUUGAAACUCUCUCUGGUCGUAUGGAUUUUUGUUCCAUUAUGUCGUUAUGUGCUGUUAUGUCUUCGUUGGCUUCUGUUACGUCCCAUCUGUUUCAUCAGCAAGUUUUCAAAUUGAUUCCAUCUGCAAGCUUUGAUGUAUUUAUAGCUGAUCUGGUCUUCCAAAAACUUGUGGUUAAGAUUUCUCUAAAACAUCCUUUCAUUUUAGUGGCUUUGCAAUUUCGGUUCUCUGAAAUUCCUUUUCUUCUAAAGGAAAUGCCCUUUUUUGUUCUUGAUUUACUAUCCGUUUCUUUGUCAAUUUGUCAUUUGUUAUGUAAUUUUUAUUACUAGAAUUGAAUUUUCUAUAUCUUAUAUACUAUAGAAUUUUGAUGUAACAAGAUAACUUUAAAUGACCUUUGCAAAAUAGUUUGGACAUCUUAAGAGAAAACUAAAUGUAAGUCUUUAUAUGUGUGACGACUAGGUCAGUCAUCUCAUGAGUUACCACUCUGUUUUUCCCCAUUUCUGAUUUCUUAUGCUUCGUUAUCCGUGUUUUAUGUGAUCGGGUUGAUUAGUUUGAGUUCGGAGAGGAUUUGGUAAGAAAUGAGAUACUUAGUCUCUUUUGAGAAAGUUUAAGUUGGAAAAGUCAACCGGAUGUUAGUUUAUGCGUUAGAGGGCUCGGAUGUGAGUUUCGGUGGUUCGAAAAGCUUCGGGAGGUGAUUUAUGGCUUAGGAGCGUGAUCAGAAUUGGUUUUGGAGGUCCGGAGUAGAAUUAGGCUUGAAUUGGCGAAAUUGAUAUUUUGGCAAUUUCCGGUUGUUAGGCGAGAUUUUGAUAUAGGGGUUGGAAUGGAAUUCCGAGAGUUGCAGUAGCUUCGUUAUGUUAUUUGGGAUGUGUGUGCAAAAUUUCAGGUCAUUCAGACGUGGUUUGGUUGUGUUUUUGAUUAACAGCGUAUUUCGAAAGAUUUUUAGAAACUUAGGCUUGAAUCCGAUGUGAUUUGGUAGGUUUGAUAUUGUUUGAAGUGUUUUGAUGAUUGGAACAAGUUUGAAUAAGGUAUUGGGUCAUGUUGGUGCUUUUGGUUGAGGUCCCGGGAGCCUCAGGGUGGUUUCAGAUGGCUAACGGGGAGGUUUGAUGUUUAAUGCAGCUUUAGAUAUUGCUGCUUCUGGUAUUUUCACACCUGCAGUUUGGGGGCCGCAGGUACGGCACCGCAUAUGUGAUGGAAUGGCCGCAGAAGCGGAUCGUGAGGACUUGCCAGUGACCGCAACUCCGCAGAUGCGGAGGAUUUAUCGCAGAAGCAAAAAAUGUCCUGAUGAGCAGCGACCGCAGAAGCAGUUAGUGUGACCGCAUCUGCGAUGUCGCAGAUGCGGAAGUGUGAUCGCAGAUGCGAUUUUUGGUCCUUAAGUGAUAUCCGCAGAAGUGGAUGGUAGACCGCAAAUGCGGUACCGCAGAAGCGGGUUUUGGACCGCAGAUGUGGAAAGGCCUGGGCAGAAGGUAUAUAUUUCAUCCUUCGCGAUUUUUGAAGGGUUUAACCAUUUUUGAACUCCGAAUUGGGAGCUUUGGGCGAUUUUGAAGAGAGAAAUCAAAGAGACUUCGUUGAGGUAAGGAUUUUGAAUUUAAAACACACUUCUAUGGUAAUAUUUCAUGUAUUGGGGCUGAAAUUUAAGGAAUUAAAGAACUAAAAAUGGAUGUUUAGGGCUUGAGUUUAAGAGAGCUUAAAUUGAGGAUUUGAGGGGUCAUUUGAACUCCGAUUCUUGUGUUUUUGAUAUGUAUGAAUUCGUGGGGAGACGAGAAGUCUAAUGAUGUUAAAAUUUCUGAGUUUCGAGAACUGGGCCCGGGUUUUUUGGUAAUUUUGGGAUUUUUGGUAUUUUUCAAUUGUUUUAGCUUGGGCUUUGUUCCCUUAGCAUAUUGUGACGUAUUCGUUCUGAUUUCAGGUAAUAUUUGUAAAUGAUGUUCUGAGGGUUUGAAACCCCAGAUUGCACAUCGUAGUGCUAUAUUGAGGUGAGGCACGUGCUUGUUGACGAGCGUGGAGUCGUGCACUAUUGCAGAUUGUGACUUGGUCCGUCCCGAUUGAUGAUUUUACUGCGUAUUUGACUGAAACUUAUUUGUUAUCAUCAUGAUUUGAGCUGAUUGCCAUAUUUGGGCUUCGUGCCAACUAUUUGAACCCUUGGGAGAUUUUUAUUACUAUUCUCUCACUGCUUUGACUUAUUAAUUGAACUCAGUCAUGUUAUUUUUCACUGUUUUACCACUUAGCCAUUUUUACUCCGUUUUGAGAUUUAAAUGAUAUUCUAAAUGAUGUUUUGGGCUGAGAAAUACUGUUUUACUAAUGCCCGAGGGGCUUGUGAGUAUUUUUGACUGAGUAAGGCCGAGGGCCUAGUUGUAAGGAAACACUAAUACUGAUUGAGGUCGAGGGCCUGAGAUAUGUACACCACGAGGUGGCUUUUUGAUAUUGUUUAUGAGGCCAAGGGCCUGAGAUAUAUACGCCACGAGAUGGCUUGACUGAUAUGAGGUCGAGGGCCUAGAUUUGAUGCCACGAGAUGGCUUGAUAUUGUGCUUGGGCUGUAAGGGGCCCCUCCUGGAGUCUGUACACCCCCAGUGAGUGCGGGUACCCAUUGUGAUGUGAGAUUGAGCCCGAGGGGCUAGCACUAUUCUGAGAUUGAACCCGAGGGGCUGGUACUGUUCUGCGAUGUUGCCCGAGGGGCGGUUUUGUUGAUACUCUGCCCGAGGGGCGAACUUUUACUUAUUAUUUACCUGUUAAUUACUUGUUAUACCUGCUGAAAAAGGGAUUUUACAUGAUUCUUCACCGAUUUACUGAUUUUAAGUGAUUUUACUGCUUCAGUAUAGAAUGCUUUGUGCCUUACGUGUUUUCUUACCUUCAGUCAUUAUUUAUAUUUAUUACUCACUGGGUCGGAGUACUCACAUUACUCCCUGCUCCAUGUGUGCAGAUUCAGGCGUCAUUGGUUCCGCUCAUGAGUGCUGAUUCCUCCAGUCCCAGGCGGUAUUCGGAGACUACGAGGUAGCUGUUGGCGUCCGCAGCCCCGUGUCUCUACUAUCCUGUCAUUUCUAUUUCCUUCAAACAUUUGUACUAGAUAUUGGAUUUAGCAUACUUGUAUCAUGGUCUAUAGCUGCUCGUGACUUGUGACACCCCGGUUAGGGCUGUGUCGGGUUGGACUUUUCCGCAUUGUUAUCGUUAUUUCCGCUAUUCAGGGUUAUUAAUCAUGUUUAGACUAUUUUUGUGUUGCUUAGCUGUUUUAAAGGCGAAUUGGGUUAAACUGACUGGCCUUGUCUUCACGAGAGGCGCCAUCACAACCGGGUUCGGGGUUGGGGUCGUG